Long non-coding RNA from Lutra lutra (Eurasian river otter), 2810 nucleotides. RefSeq lists it as uncharacterized. The record is from RefSeq and is a predicted model, not a curated record. The transcript is spliced from 4 exons. Lineage: Eukaryota; Metazoa; Chordata; Mammalia; Carnivora; Mustelidae.
AUAUUCAAAUGCCUUUCUUGGUGAAACAGCAGGCUUCCAACCCCCCAAAUAUUAUGACUUGAGUUAAAUAUAACCCAGAGCAUGAAAAUAACGGCACAACACGGGGCUUGGAGAAGCCAUGGAGGGAGUGGCUCACGCGCAGUCACACUCUCUGUCCCCCUGGGUGUGGCGGGCCGGCCACAGAACCCCUGGCCACUCGGGCAGAGAGCCCACAAACACACGCAGACACCUCGACGCAUUCCGGGCUGAAGUUGUUGAUACCUCUUGAAAAAUGUCAAGGAAGCAGUUACACCAACAAGGUGGGAUUUCGGCAAUGAGGCUGAGGUCUGGGCUGAAGACAUCCAUUUGGAAAGUCGCUAAAGCCGUGGGAAUGGGAUCCCUCACAUACGGGAGAGGAGCAGAGAAUUCUGAACUCAUCUUUCCUGAGGGGGUGCUCCCGGUGAGCCAGCUCCCCAAGUCUGAGAACCACAGCUCAUCCGAAGCUUGGAAUUCGACUGUCCCAACAGCGAGGAGCCUUGGGUGACAAGACGUUAGCUGCAGGCAGAGAGGCUGGGAAGACCUCACAUCAGCGAGGUGGGAAGAACCAGAUGGGCCCCGCCUGCCGGGGUACUGGUGGUGGGCGCGGAACAGGCAGAAGCAGUAGUUGGGUCAUUACCCGAGGUCUUGGCCAGGCCUCCAGCUCUUCGUGACUCAAGCGUAUCCAGGGAUCUGGGGAGAAUCGUUGGCCUUUGUCCUCAGGCCGUGUGUAGGGACUCUGUUAACAUUUCUGUAAGUGGAAGCUCCUUACAGGCGCUGUUUAUGUACCAGAAAGCCAUAACAGGAUUGAAUCUUAAUGAGCUGCCUGUGAAGGCCAACAUCCGAGCUUGGGUGACGUCCAAGGGCUGCUUCUCUGGGCCUCAGUUUCCUGGGCCAAGCAAAGAAAGAAUGAUGGGAGACGAUCCACAUCGAUAUGGUCGUCACUGGUGCCAUGUGGCCAUUCGAAUUCGAAUGAACUGAAAUUAAAUUAAAUUAAAAAUUCAGCUCCUCCGUCACAUGAGCCACGUUUCCAAUGCUCCAUAACCACACAUGGCUGGGGCUGCUGUGUCAGAGAACGUGGAUGUGGAACAUCUCCGGAACAUCUCCUUCACUGUAGACGUUACUGUUGGACAGCAUUCAUCUCUAAGGCGGCUUCCUCUCGGGCCAUCGCGUGAACUCUGUGAUCUGCUGUUAUCAAGAGACCUGCAGAAUUGCGAUACACAGUGCGUGGGCCCACAGGCACGGAGCACACACACAUCACUCUCUUCCGUCAGGACAGCGUCAAGAAAGCGGGUGGCUUGGCUCAAGAACAGCUGCCUAACCGGGCGUUGCUUCUGACUUCUCAUGAAACGUUAGGGACUUCUUGUGACUAUGUAUUGUAUACACAUUUCCUGCAUGCCCACUACGUGCUAGGCAUUGUUCAGAGCACAAGUGGAGUACAGAGUUUGGGGAGGAUCCAUUCGUAUAUACAGUUCCUUUGCCGUGAGAGGAGGCACCAUCACUGUGAGCAUCCGCAAGCCCCUCUGGUGCCUACUUGCUCGAUGGGCACAGAGAGCUCUGCAGAGGUGGCCUUGCCCUUGAAGGGCUGGCAUUGCCCAAUCGACUCUCUGACUGGAUAAGUACUUGAUAGGAAGGCUGCAAAGAGGUAAUGGUUGUGUUAUGUGGUAAGUACUCAGCUAGAAGCAUGGACAGUGUGUCGUGGGGGCAUAGGAGAGGAAGACACUCUUUUCUGGGCCUCAGUUUCCCCGAGUGAAUGGAAGGGGAGGGCCCCUUGACCUCCGAGGCUUCCUCAUCGCUAAGACAUCCUCUUUUGGGAGUCCCACUGUCUGAGCGCUCUUUAGAGGACAAGGCUUUCUCCGUGCCAAUUUCGGGUUGCACAGGCUUUUCUGUAUCUCCCCACGGCGCUGCCCUUUACUUUUUUUAAAUCCUGAGGAGGCCUGGAGGCACCUUCCCUCCCCGGUACCCCUCCCUCCUCCCAGGUUGCACAACCCCAGCCUACUUCUUGUCAUAUUUCCUACUGGAUCGGGUGUUUAAUUAAAAUCAUAAUUAAAAUUGAUCUCCUCAUUAACAUGCACCUGCUCUGCCUCUCACAUCCUUGCGUUCCAUUAUCCACUGAAGAUGUCAGGACUGACAGGCGAGUGCCAGACCCCAGGCCAGCCCUGCCUGAUGGGGUUGGCCGAUGACAACAUCUGGACAGAGAGGACUUUGGUGGGGAAGCUGCAUCUGCAGCAGAUCAACACACAAUUAGCACCAGGUGGGCCCUCUGGGGAGAGGCCGGGCUGUGUGAUGGCCUGCAGGCAGCUGGCUAGAUCGAGCAGUCCUCCGGGAAGGACACCGCCCAUGUGCACUUUCCUAGGCCCCCACCCACGUGCACGCACCCACCUGUGCCCCUGCAAGGGUGAUCUGUGAUGAGCCAACAAACCCUUACCUGGGAGAAUCUGGGGGUUGAAAGCAGAGGGGGUCCCUCACUUCCCUGGGCUGAGACCUGACCGUGACUGCCAGGAGCCUCUAGCAGGGCUGAAUUCCGGCUGCUGUCGGGGCUUGGGAUGUCUCUGGCACCUACAGAACCUGGCAUAGAGUAUGUACUCGCUUUACUUACUGAACACUUGUUCAAUGAAUACCUUUCAGUCCCAGAAAUCACUAAAUGAAAUAAGAUUCUUCCACAAGGGGGGUGUGGAUAGGGAUGUGAUGUGAAACGUGAUAUCCCGUGUGCCAUACCUUUUAGCAGAUCCUGUUGGAGUUCUUUAUUAGAAGGCUAGGUCAGGGGCGCCUGGGUCGUUCAGUCAGUUAAGCAU